UUGGCUAUCCUGGAUAAUGAUGUCCUUUGGUUAUACACAAAGCAGAUACAGCUGUAGUGCAAACUUUCCCCAGACUAUGCCGCCAGUGUACAUCAACCCUGAUGUGGAGGAAUCACUUCUAGGGACAAAGCCGGGGGAGUUCAGCCUUCAUAACUAUUCAACAUUUGGACUCU
Unclassified non-coding RNA from Chelonoidis abingdonii (Abingdon island giant tortoise), 173 nucleotides. NCBI's taxonomy places the organism in Eukaryota, Metazoa, Chordata, Testudines, Testudinidae. The record is from Ensembl.